UUGAAAGGGAAACGAUUGAAGUCAGUCGUACCAGCGGGAAUCAACCUUUCGAGUGGUGUUUUGGAGUUUUGAAGUGUGUCAAAACCUUUGAGAUUUUAAAAUUUUCGCUCCUUUGGUGUACUUUCUCGUGGGUAGGUUAACAUCGAUCUCGAUCAUCAUAAAGGUUGGAGGAAGGUACGUUCGAGUCUUGAUUGAAUGGCCUAUGCCUUGGUGAAGUUGGGAUCGGGGAAGCGGGAAUAACCAUUGCCCUUUUUUACUCUUUUGGACUAUCCGCCUGAUCUCUGAUACGUGGCCUUGGCAUCGAAAGCUUGCUUAUGGUAUCAAGGUAUUACGGUCAAAAGGUUAGAACGGAUUACAUUCGUUAAGGAUGUUGACGUA
Molecule: ribosomal RNA, 378 nt
Filed under: uncultured Glomeromycotina
Lineage: Eukaryota; Fungi; Glomeromycota
Description: LSU rRNA
Source: RNAcentral